RNAcentral lists this long non-coding RNA (415 nucleotides) under Homo sapiens (human). RNAcentral's name for it is "HSALNT0223849". The record is from RNAcentral. Lineage: Eukaryota; Metazoa; Chordata; Mammalia; Primates; Hominidae.
CCAGGAAUGGUGGUGGGCGUCUGUAAUCCCAGCUAUUCAGGAGGCUGAGGUGGGAGAAGUGCUUGAACCCGGGGUGGCGGAGGUUGCAGUGAGCUGAGAUAGCGCCACUGCACUCCAGCCUGGUCAACAGAGUAAGACUGUCUCAAAAAAAAAAAAAAGUUGGAGUCCAAUAAGCACAUGAUCAACACCGUUAACCAUCAGGGAAACAAGAUACCAUUUCACACCCAUAAGGAUGGUUACAAUCAAAAAGACAAUAACAAGUGUUGGCAAGGGUGUACAGAAAUCAAAACCUAGAUACACUGCUGGUGGGGAUGUAAAAACGCUGCAGUCACUUUGGAAAAUAGUCUGACAGUUUCUCAAAAAGUUAAUCAGAGUUACUACUUUUUUUCCUCUUUUAAAAUUAUAUUUUAAGUUU